CACGUAGGACGCAAGCGUUGUCCGGAAUUAUUGGGCGUAAAGAGCUCGUAGGCGGUCUGUUGCGUCCGCUGUGAAAACUCGGGGCUUAACCCCGAGCCUGCAGUGGAUACGGGCAGACUAGAGGUAGGUAGGGGAGAAUGGAAUUCCCGGUGUAGCGGUGAAAUGCGCAGAUAUCAGGAGGAACACCAAUGGCGAAGGCAGCUCGCUGGGACGGUACUGACGCUGAGGCGCGAAAGCGUGGGGAGCGAACAGG
RNAcentral lists this ribosomal RNA (253 nucleotides) under uncultured bacterium. Its description in RNAcentral is "partial 16S ribosomal RNA". It matches the Rfam family "Bacterial small subunit ribosomal RNA", at positions 524 to 776 of the family's 1533-position model. The record is from RNAcentral.